RNAcentral lists this transfer RNA (71 nucleotides) under Phrynosoma platyrhinos (Desert horned lizard). Its description in RNAcentral is "tRNA-OTHER". Lineage: Eukaryota; Metazoa; Chordata; Lepidosauria; Squamata; Phrynosomatidae. The record is from RNAcentral.
GCCAGAGUGGCGUAGUGGUUUGAGUGUUGGACUAUGAUCUGGAGACCAGGGUUCGAAUCCCAACUCAGCCA